CAACCCUCAAGCCCCCCCGGGGCUCGGUGUUGGGGGACGGCGGAGAGCCCCAGCGGCCCCCCCGCCGCCCCCGAAAUGAAUUGGCGGCCUCGGCGCUGCCUCCCCUGCGUAGUAGCACUGCUCGCACCGGGAGCGCGCCGCGGCCACGCCGUAAAACGCCCCAACUUCUCAAGAG
This 175-nucleotide unclassified non-coding RNA is filed under the name uncultured Clavicipitaceae. Its description in RNAcentral is "sequence contains ITS2". The record is from RNAcentral. Lineage: Eukaryota; Fungi; Ascomycota; Sordariomycetes; Hypocreales; Clavicipitaceae.